RNAcentral lists this long non-coding RNA (740 nucleotides) under Homo sapiens (human). RNAcentral's name for it is "HSALNT0085316". The record is from RNAcentral. Lineage: Eukaryota; Metazoa; Chordata; Mammalia; Primates; Hominidae.
GAGGAAGCAAAACUGAAAGAGUUUUACCAAUGUACAUAGAACAUCUAUAUUAAAAAGGACUAAUUCCUGCUGAAGGUUGCACUAUUGGCUUCCCUACUUUUGAGGUUUUGGGACUCCGACUGGCUUCCUGGCUCCUCACCUUGCAGAUGGUCUAUUGUGGGACCUCAUCUUGUGAUCAUGUCUCAGUAUGUUGCUCAGACUGGUCUUGAACUCCUGGCCUCAAGUGAUCCUCCCACCUCAGCCUCUUGAGUAGCUGGGACUACAGUUGCAAGCCAUCCUGUCUGGCUAGUUAUCUUUAAUUAAUGACAUUUGUUAAAGUAACACAAAAAUCCUAGAAACAUUUGCCUGUUGAAACUUUCUGAUAAUUUGAAUGAAGUAAAGUUUGGAGUCUCUGUCUCAUUGAAAAUACUCAAGGUUAAUAUAAUAAAAACAGCAAAGCAGUAAUGCAUAAAAGAAUUAUUAGAAGUCUAAUAAAAUUAUUUGGACCUCCAACUAUAGCAACACUGAUUAAUGACUGCUUUUUAAUUAAUUGAAAGUUGUUCAAUCAUCGUGCCAUUUCAUUUCACCUGAGAGUUUUUAUAAAAGGGUCAGAGCCAAAACAUAUGCUAGUUCAAUUUGCAAUAAGGUAUACUUAAGCAAUUUCAUUCUUCUUGGCAGGGCAAGUGUGGGCUAUUCAUUUCUCAUUUAUUCACGGUGAUGAUAUUCCCUGUUCAGCUGGCUAGUGUGAUCAAGGAAGACAG